This 402-nucleotide ribosomal RNA is filed under the name uncultured bacterium. RNAcentral describes it as "bacterial SSU rRNA". It matches the Rfam family "Bacterial small subunit ribosomal RNA", at positions 355 to 774 of the family's 1533-position model. The record is from RNAcentral.
UCGGGAAUAUUGCGCAAUGGAGGAAACUCUGACGCAGUGACGCCGCGUGCAGGAAGAAGGUUUUCGGAUUGUAAACUGCUUUAGACAGGGAAGAUAGUGACAGUACCUGUAGAAUAAGCUCCGGCUAACUACGUGCCAGCAGCCGCGGUAAUACGUAGGGAGCAAGCGUUAUCCGGAUUUAUUGGGUGUAAAGGGUGCGUAGACGGGAGAGCAAGUUGGUUGUGAAAUCCCUCGGCUUAACUGAGGAACUGCAACCAAAACUACUAUUCUUGAGUGCUGGAGAGGAAAGUGGAAUUCCUAGUGUAGCGGUGAAAUGCGUAGAUAUUAGGAGGAACACCAGUGGCGAAGGCGACUUUCUGGACAGUAACUGACGUUGAGGCACGAAAGUGUGGGGAGCAAACA